GAUGAAGAACGCAGCGAAAAGCGAUAAGUAAUGUGAAUUGCAGAAUUCAGUGAAUCAUCGAAUCUUUGAACGCACAUUGCGCCCGCCAGUAUUCUGGCGGGCAUGCCUGUUCGAGCGUCAUUUCAACCAUCAAGCCCCAGGCUUGUGUUGGGGACCUGCGGCUGCCGCAGGCCCUGAAAACCAGUGGCGGGCUCGCUGUCACACCGGGCGUAGUAGAUUUUAUCUCGCUCAGGGCGUGCUGCGGGUUCCGGCCGUUAAAAAGCCUUUUUUACCCAAGGUUGACCUCGGAUCAGGUAGGAAGACCCGCUGAACUUAAGCAUAUCAAUAAGCGGAGGA
RNAcentral lists this unclassified non-coding RNA (336 nucleotides) under soil metagenome. Its description in RNAcentral is "partial contains 5.8S ribosomal RNA, internal transcribed spacer 2, and large subunit ribosomal RNA". The stretch from base 1 to 120 matches the Rfam family "5.8S ribosomal RNA", at positions 35 to 154 of the family's 154-position model. The record is from RNAcentral.